Molecule: ribosomal RNA, 517 nt
Filed under: uncultured bacterium
Lineage: Bacteria
Description: partial 16S ribosomal RNA
Rfam family: Bacterial small subunit ribosomal RNA
Source: RNAcentral
UAGGGAAUCUUCCACAAUGGACGCAAGUCUGAUGGAGCAACGCCGCGUGAGUGAAGAAGGUCUUCGGAUCGUAAAGCUCUGUUGUUGGUGAAGAAGGAUAGAGGCAGUAACUGGUCUUUAUUUGACGGUAAUCAACCAGAAAGUCACGGCUAACUACGUGCCAGCAGCCGCGGUAAUACGUAGGUGGCAAGCGUUGUCCGGAUUUAUUGGGCGUAAAGCGAGCGCAGGCGGAAUGAUAAGUCUGAUGUGAAAGCCCACGGCUCAACCGUGGAACUGCAUCGGAAACUGUCAUUCUUGAGUGCAGAAGAGGAGAGUGGAACUCCACGUGUAGCGGUGGAAUGCGUAGAUAUAUGGAAGAACACCAGUGGCGAAGGCGGCUCUCUGGUCUGCAACUGACGCUGAGGCUCGAAAGCAUGGGUAGCGAACAGGAUUAGAUACCCUGGUAGUCCAUGCCGUAAACGAUGAGCGCUAGGUGUUGGGGACUUUCCGGUCCUCAGUGCCGCAGCAAACGCAUUAA